RNAcentral lists this ribosomal RNA (243 nucleotides) under uncultured bacterium. RNAcentral describes it as "partial 16S ribosomal RNA". It matches the Rfam family "Bacterial small subunit ribosomal RNA", at positions 93 to 334 of the family's 1533-position model. The record is from RNAcentral.
AAGUGGCGAACGGGUGAGUAAUACAUAAGCAACCUACCCACGAAGACUGGGAUAAUCUCUGGAAACGGGGACUAAUACCGGAUAGGUAAUCGGAAGGCAUCUUCUGACUAUUAAAGGUUAAAAACACUGGUGGAUGGGCUUAUGGCGCAUUAGUUAGUUGGUGAGGUAACGGCCCACCAAGACGAUGAUGCGUAGCCGGCCUGAGAGGGUGAACGGCCACAUUGGGACUGAGACACGGCCCAG